This 253-nucleotide ribosomal RNA is filed under the name uncultured bacterium. RNAcentral's name for it is "partial 16S ribosomal RNA". It matches the Rfam family "Bacterial small subunit ribosomal RNA", at positions 524 to 776 of the family's 1533-position model. The record is from RNAcentral.
UACGAAGGGGGCUAGCGUUGCUCGGAAUCACUGGGCGUAAAGGGUGCGUAGGCGGGUCUUUAAGUCAGGGGUGAAAUCCUGGAGCUCAACUCCAGAACUGCCUUUGAUACUGAGGAUCUUGAGUCCGGGAGAGGUGAGUGGAACUGCGAGUGUAGAGGUGAAAUUCGUAGAUAUUCGCAAGAACACCAGUGGCGAAGGCGGCUCACUGGCCCGGUACUGACGCUGAUGUGCGAAAGCGUGGGGAGCAAACAGG